CCUUCAUUCGAACAUCUCUCUCCGGCUCAUCAGCUUCGAUUUUCUCUUGAAAACUCUUCACUAAAUUGGCACCAAAGUAGAAAAAUGGUGGGUUUUGGAAAACAAUAGCCCUCCGGAGAAGUUGAACGGUAGGUAGUGGAAAGCUCGCUAUAUUCCCUACUGCUGAGGUAUGAAUUUCUAAAGAAUUUACCAAUUUACCAUAGGGUUGCCAAGAAAAAAUCGAAUAUGAGCCGUAAAGAAUGUUCGAAUGAAGAGAGAAAGUUGCAGACUCGAAGAAUCCGAGUUUAGCGUAGAGUUUCUAUCGAAGGAGAGAACUGCUACGCAAAUAAAGGAGAAGAAAUAUGGUUUGGUUUUGGUCAAAAGAUCAAAAUGCUUACGAUAUAUAAUAAUAAAAUAACCAUGUGACAUCCUAAUUAGUGAAAACAUGUUGUUAACUUGUUAAAAAUGUAAUUUCCUGUUUUUUGCCGGGUUCGUGGAUGAUUGUAGAGCUUUUUUGCGUUCGA
This is a long non-coding RNA of Ipomoea triloba (trilobed morning glory), 503 nucleotides long. RefSeq lists it as uncharacterized. The transcript has 2 exons. NCBI's taxonomy places the organism in Eukaryota, Viridiplantae, Streptophyta, Magnoliopsida, Solanales, Convolvulaceae. The record is from RefSeq and is a predicted model, not a curated record.